UUCCCUCAUUGAGGUCCAGGAAAAGUCGUUUU
Molecule: non-coding RNA, 32 nt
Filed under: Mus musculus (house mouse)
Lineage: Eukaryota; Metazoa; Chordata; Mammalia; Rodentia; Muridae
Source: RNAcentral